UGUUCUAGUUUUUUGAAAGUUUAAAUAUGACUUUUUUUAGUUUUGGUUAUUUGUUUGUUUUGAUUUAUUUGGUGGAUGUAUAUAUGUUUUGUGUUUGACUCUUUGGCUUUAAUAUCAAUGCCAUUGGUGUUGAAUCCAGCACCCAAAAUCAAAUUAGCCCCUUUGUGAUUAUUUAGAUGGAUUGUUUAUCUAGUUUGUCUACAAGUCAUGAAGUGGUACACUCAAUUUUUGCUCAUAUUAGAUGUUGGCGUUAAACUUUAUGGCCAGUAGUUUGAAAGAAUUCUUGCCACAUAGAUGUAUUCGUUUUUUCUCCUCUAUGUGACUCAUUCUCAAUCUACUUUUUAGAUAAGAGUUAAAAGUUAUUUUAUUCUGUGUGAUUCGGCCAUUUUAUGAGUUUAUUGCAAAGGUUUUUUUUUCUCUAUGAGUCCAAAAAGAUUUUACAUAGUCUAGUCUGGGUUAAUUUUAUCUUUUUUUGGUUAACAUGAGAGACAAUUCGGUCAUUUUAUAUCUCCUUUUAACUAGGACAAUUCGGUCAUCUAAAAACUUACGGAUUGUCCUUUUCGUUAAGAGAAAAAUGGAUGAAAAAUGCAUGAAGUGACUAAAAUGGCAACAGUAAAACAUUUUUGGACCUAUGAGCGAAAAAUGAAACAUUUGGACUAAAUUGGCUAAAUGGCCCAAAUCACAGGUACUGAAAUGGCAUUUAACUCUUUUAGAUAUCACUUAACGCAGUUAACGUUGUUUCACUUUUCCUCAGUUCUGUUAUAAAUUAACUAAUUCAUAUGGUUAUAUGAUUAAUAUUUGAAGAAGUGAAUACAAACAAUCUAUCACAGGACG
Molecule: long non-coding RNA, 834 nt
Filed under: Helianthus annuus (common sunflower)
Lineage: Eukaryota; Viridiplantae; Streptophyta; Magnoliopsida; Asterales; Asteraceae
Description: hypothetical non coding rna
Source: RNAcentral